This 1221-nucleotide ribosomal RNA is filed under the name Vreelandella janggokensis. RNAcentral's name for it is "bacterial SSU rRNA". It matches the Rfam family "Bacterial small subunit ribosomal RNA", at positions 212 to 1426 of the family's 1533-position model. The record is from RNAcentral. Lineage: Bacteria; Pseudomonadati; Pseudomonadota; Gammaproteobacteria; Oceanospirillales; Halomonadaceae.
CUCCCGCUAUUGGAUGAGCCUAUGCCGGAUUAGCUGGUUGGUGAGGUAAUGGCUCACCAAGGCGACGAUCCGUAGCUGGUCUGAGAGGAUGAUCAGCCACAUCGGGACUGAGACACGGCCCGAACUCCUACGGGAGGCAGCAGUGGGGAAUAUUGGACAAUGGGGGCAACCCUGAUCCAGCCAUGCCGCGUGUGUGAAGAAGGCCCUCGGGUUGUAAAGCACUUUCAGCGAGGAAGAACGCCUGUCGGUUAAUACCCGGCAGGAAAGACAUCACUCGCAGAAGAAGCACCGGCUAACUCCGUGCCAGCAGCCGCGGUAAUACGGAGGGUGCAAGCGUUAAUCGGAAUUACUGGGCGUAAAGCGCGCGUAGGUGGCUUGAUAAGCCGGUUGUGAAAGCCCCGGGCUCAACCUGGGAACGGCAUCCGGAACUAUUAGGCUAGAGUGCAGGAGAGGAAGGUAGAAUUCCCGGUGUAGCGGUGAAAUGCGUAGAGAUCGGGAGGAAUACCAGUGGCGAAGGCGGCCUUCUGGACUGACACUGACACUGAGGUGCGAAAGCGUGGGUAGCAAACAGGAUUAGAUACCCUGGUAGUCCACGCCGUAAACGAUGUCGACCAGCCGUUGGGUGCCUAGCGCACUUUGUGGCGAAGUUAACGCGAUAAGUCGACCGCCUGGGGAGUACGGCCGCAAGGUUAAAACUCAAAUGAAUUGACGGGGGCCCGCACNAGCGGUGGAGCAUGUGGUUUAAUUCGAUGCAACGCGAAGAACCUUACCUACCCUUGACAUCCUGCGAACUUGUGAGAGAUCACUUGGUGCCUUCGGGAGCGCAGAGACAGGUGCUGCAUGGCUGUCGUCAGCUCGUGUUGUGAAAUGUUGGGUUAAGUCCCGUAACGAGCGCAACCCUUGUCCCUAUUUGCCAGCGAUUCGGUCGGGAACUCUAGGGAGACUGCCGGUGACAAACCGGAGGAAGGUGGGGACGACGUCAAGUCAUCAUGGCCCUUACGGGUAGGGCUACACACGUGCUACAAUGGCCGGUACAAAGGGCUGCGAGCUCGCGAGAGUCAGCGAAUCCCUUAAAGCCGGUCUCAGUCCGGAUCGGAGUCUGCAACUCGACUCCGUGAAGUCGGAAUCGCUAGUAAUCGUGCAUCAGAAUGGCACGGUGAAUACGUUCCCGGGCCUUGUACACACCGCCCGUCACACCAUGGGAGUGGACUGCACCAGAAG